This 318-nucleotide ribosomal RNA is filed under the name uncultured bacterium. RNAcentral describes it as "bacterial SSU rRNA". It matches the Rfam family "Bacterial small subunit ribosomal RNA", at positions 28 to 334 of the family's 1533-position model. The record is from RNAcentral.
GACGAACGCUGGCGGCGUGCCUAAUACAUGCAAGUAGAACGCUGACUACUUUAGCUUGCUAGAGUAGAAGGAGUUGCGAACGGGUGAGUAACGCGUAGGUAACCUGCCUACUAGCGGGGGAUAACUAUUGGAAACAGGUGCUAAUACCGCAUAACAGUUUAUGCCGCAUGGCAUAAGAGUGAAAGGCGCUUUCGGGUGUCGCUGAUGGAUGGACCCGCGGUGCAUUAGCUAGUUGGUGAGGUAACGGCUCACCAAGGCCACGAUGCAUAGCCGACCUGAGAGGGUGAUCGGCCACACUGGGACUGAGACACGGCCCAG